GCAGAGAAGGAUCAGGAAGGAUCGAUUUGAGGAAAUAACAUGUGAGCUAGACUUUUAAGGAGGCGAAAGAGCCAGCUGCAGAAAGCCAACAAGAGGGGUGUUUAAUGCAAAGAAAAUCAUAAACCGAUCCCUAGCUGGAAAUGAUCCUAACCUGUGGAAGCUCCUGAAUUGAGUGAGGGACCGGCCGGCAGGAGAGAUGGAGUCUCACUGUGUCCCCCAGGCUGCUGUGCAGUGGUGCAAUCUCAGCUAAAUACAACCUCCACCUCCUAGAUUCAAGCAAUUCUCCUGCCUCAGCCUCCCAAGUAGCUGGGAACACAGCAUAACCCAGCUCAUCCUGACUGAUGCCACCAUUUCCAGAUAAGAGAAAUGCGACUGAGAAAGAUUAAGAUAUUUUCUUAAGAUUGGACAUUAUGUUCCUACCCACUGUGCUUGCCUUAUAGUUGAAAGAGAGUUUAUUUAAGCACAGAGAUCAAGCAAGAGUGGAGCACAGGACACACUUUCAGGUUGCCUUGGGGACUGCUCUGUAGAACAAAAAAUCAAACUCAAGAUUUUAAGGAAAACAAGUACAAGUGAAGAGAAGGCAUGAUUACCAAAGUUGUUGAUCUAAUUCUCAUUGAUUUACAGAAAUAACAGUGGCUAACGAUCAGCUAUACAUUGUUGAAUUAUAGGAUGUAUGGCAUUUAAAAAUGUAUUUAUUUAAAACUAAUUUUUUUUAGAUUUUUGAUGGAUUUAGGGGUACAGGUGCAGUUGUGUUACAUGGAUAUAUUUUGUAGAGAUGAAAUCUGGGCUUUUAUGUACAACUACCCAAAUAAGAUACAUUGUACCCAAUAGGCAGCAUUUCACUUUCACCCUCAUUCUAUCCUCCCACUGUUUGGAGCCUCCAAUGUCUAUCAUUCCACUCAGUAAGUCCAUGUCCAUGGUUUAGCACCCAUGUAUAAGUGGGAACAUGCAGUUCUUGAUUUUCUGUUUCUGAGUCAUUUCACUAAGGGUAAUGGCCUCCAGUUCCAUACACAUUGCUGCAAAAGUCAUAAUUUCAUUCACUUUUAUGGCUGAAUAGUAUUCCAUGGUGUAUAUCUACCAGAUUGUUUUAUUCAAUGAAGUGUUGAUGGACACUUAGGUUGAUUUCACAACUUUGCUAUUCUGAACUGUGCUACAAUAAACAUACAAAUGCAGAAGGCUUUUUUAUAUAA
Long non-coding RNA from Homo sapiens (human), 1190 nucleotides. The record is from Ensembl. NCBI's taxonomy places the organism in Eukaryota, Metazoa, Chordata, Mammalia, Primates, Hominidae.